GCGGGGCUGCGCGGCGCGACAGGUCGAUUGUCCCUGGGGCCGUAGCACUUCUCUUAGGGAGCUGUCCCUGCCGGGACCGUGGUCCCGGCACAUGGCGCCCACCUGCUGAUGCAGGGCCCAAGAGGAGACAUAAUGACCACCGGCCGAGGCGGCUCCGCU
This 159-nucleotide non-coding RNA is filed under the name Inquilinus ginsengisoli. RNAcentral's name for it is "6S / SsrS RNA". It matches the Rfam family "6S / SsrS RNA". From Rfam's summary of the family: E. coli 6S RNA was the first non coding RNA to be sequenced, but its function was unknown until recently. The record is from RNAcentral. RNAcentral also lists the same sequence under 2 other names. Lineage: Bacteria; Pseudomonadati; Pseudomonadota; Alphaproteobacteria; Rhodospirillales; Rhodospirillaceae.